UAAAUUCAUUUCGAAUUUCGAUUCAAUUUAGUCAAUUUAUUGAAUUAACCAUAAUUGAAAUUGAUUUGAUCAUAAUUUCAAUGCAAUUAACCAAUUAUUUUAUCAAUUUGGUUGAAAUUUAAAUUGAUUGACUAAGAAUCUGAAAUAUUGGUUAUUCAAUAAAUAAUUUAAUCCUACCAUUUGGCUAUAUUUUAAAUGACCCAAGAACCCUUUCUUAUAGUGGCCCAAGUCCCUACAGCAAUACAAAACAGCAACAGACAAGGCCCAAAGUACCCCCAGCCGCCCCAGCCCAUUCUACAAGACCCGGCCCAAAUCCUCACCUUUCCUCUUUAUUCCAUUACCACAAACGGGUAACAACAGCAAUACACGACAACAACACAGCCACGGCAAAAACCCAUUCAACUACAACAUUCAACAACAGCACACAACAGCGAUUUCAACAUCAACAUCGACGACCACCCCAGCAAACAACGUCAAAAUCACCAACCGCUCCGACCCGUAAAUCAACCCGACACCAUCGGCAGACCCAACUUCGGCCAACAAUGAUUAAUACCCGACCCAACACUGAAACUCAACCAACAAAGAUCCGAAAAUCACGGAACACUCUAUCUUUUCAUCUUAUCUCUGAAUUUUGAAUUUUGCAGGCCUAGGAGCCAUCUUUUUUGACUUUCUUGCUCAAGAUUGUGUGUUACAAAAUCCAAAAUCCAAUCCAAAUCAGAAUCCGAAUUUUAGGGAUAUGUCUUCUCUAUUUUUAAAGAGCAAAAUCAAUGUCUUCCCUUAUAAAUAGGGAUUGAGGGGAAGAAGGCAAGGAGAAGAAGAUUNNNNNN
Molecule: long non-coding RNA, 827 nt
Filed under: Capsicum annuum
Lineage: Eukaryota; Viridiplantae; Streptophyta; Magnoliopsida; Solanales; Solanaceae
Description: long non-coding RNA (CANN_LNC004364)
Source: RNAcentral